UACGGGGGGGGCAAGCGUUGUUCGGAAUUACUGGGCGUAAAGGGCUCGUAGGCGGCCAACUAAGUCAGACGUGAAAUCCCUCGGCUUAACCGGGGAACUGCGUCUGAUACUGGAUGGCUAGAGAUUGGGAGAGGGAUGCGGAAUUCCAGGUGUAGCGGUGAAAUGCGUAGAUAUCUGGAGGAACACCGGUGGCGAAGGCGGCAUCCUGGACCAACACUGACGCUGAGGAGCGAAAGCCAGGGGAGCAAACGGG
This 253-nucleotide ribosomal RNA is filed under the name uncultured bacterium. RNAcentral's name for it is "partial 16S ribosomal RNA". It matches the Rfam family "Bacterial small subunit ribosomal RNA", at positions 524 to 776 of the family's 1533-position model. The record is from RNAcentral.